UGUGGAGCCAACUCACGGAAUCGUCCAUGAAGCCUGCAGAGAUCAGAGAGGACCGUAAGCUGUCAGCACCAAACCUCCUCAGACCACCACCAGAGAAGGAAGCAUCUCCUCCACCGGUUGCUGGAGCCAAUCCCAGCGCAGGAUAAAGUGAUCAGAGACGCUGAGGUCCAGACUCACGUCUGAAAGAGCCUUCAGAUUCCCCCUCAGACCUGUCGAGCAGGUGUUUGGACUUUGGAGGACUUUGGACUUUUGGACCCUGCUGGGAUUUGAACCAGCAACUUGCACCAUGCAGGCCUCCUGCACAGUCAUUGGAGGCCAGCAUUAAACCUAUGAGUGGUCGUGUUAAACCCACAGACUUUAUCAUUAUUGUCACGCUCAGCGUCAUGAUAACCUUUAAAAGCAAUGAUGUCACUAUUACGCUCCACGUGACGCCGCUAAAAGUUGGAAGAAAAAGUUUCUGAACUGGCUGACAGCGCCCUCUGAGGGUCAGAACGGAAACUACAGGCGAACAGAAAGUGAUUUUCCAGAUCACAUGAUUUCUGCCUUUCUUCAUAUGUUUCCAUGGUGAUGACGGUGAAGAGACUGACCUCAGAAUUUCCUUUCGGGUGAAGUAGGUGCAGUCCUGUGUACAAAGAAACAAACAAACAAACA
Molecule: non-coding RNA, 651 nt
Organism: Oryzias latipes (Japanese medaka)
Lineage: Eukaryota; Metazoa; Chordata; Actinopteri; Beloniformes; Adrianichthyidae
Source: RefSeq, a predicted model, not a curated record